GAGGAAAAUCAAAAAUUGAAAAACAAAUCUAUUAAAAUAAAGCUUAUUAAUAUAUAAACACACAUCAUUGAAUAACCAGCAGGGGAGAGAAUGGAGUAUGUUAUGCAAAAAAAAAUUCUAAUUUUAAGUUUAAUACGAAUUCAUCAUUUUUUUCUUGGAAUUUCUAAAUAAACAAAUUAUUUUAAAUUUAUCAACUAUCUUGGAAUUUUAUUUUUCGCAUAUAAUUUAAAUACAAUCAAUAGUAUGUAUGGUUUAGACUUCAAUCAAAUAUAUAUUAUACUAACAUUAUCACUAAUAUUUAGUUGUCUAAAUAGGGUUGUGGUUAAAAUCAAAUUAACCGAUUGGAUUGAUAUAAUUUGGUUAAUGGAUCGGUGGUUAGUUAACAAUUUUUUGGAAUAUCAGUCACUGAUUAAUUCGGUUCGAAACUGGGUAAUUAGUCAAAUUAACCGAAAUAAAUAAUAUAUUUUGUAUAUAAUUGUUAAUUUUUGUUUGAUUGUUAACUUUCAAGAUUUAUGUAGUAUUUUUAAUGUCUUGUUUGUUGUUUUCACCUUCGUUUAAAAUUUUUUUGAACUAUUAAAAAAAUGAACAUUAGUAAUGUAUUUUUUAUAUGUUUUAUACUUAUUUUAAUCAAAAGACAAAAAAUAAUUUAUUCAAUUAACCGACCGAAUAAACCAAAAUACUUUACUUCGGUUAACGGUUAAAGAUUCUUACAUUUUGAGUAAUUGGUUAAUGGUAAUUCGGUUCGGGUAUUAACCGAAUUGACCGUUUGAACUUCCCUAUGUCUAAUGUAUGAAUACAAUCCAACAAAACUAUAGAUCUUAAAUGAUUGGAAAUUGACCUUUAUUUAUUUAUAAAUAGUUAACAAAAAAUUCGUUUAGAUUUACUAUUCACAAAAUUUUAUUUUUCUUCUGUUAAAUUUUGUAACAUAAAGCAUUUAGAGUGAAGAAAAUGACACUCUAAUUGCAAAAAGGAAAAAAAUGGCAAUGAUAUAUAUCUAUUAUUCUAUCAUCUAUAAUAACAAAUUAACUUUUCAACACAUCAAUAUAUUUUUUAUUGUUUAUUAUAUUACUUAAUAUAAAUUAUCAAAACAAUUUAUAUAUGUUUAUUAUUAUUUAUUCAGAAUAGAUUAAUUUAUAAUAUAUUAUUUUUUUAUAUUUUUUUGCAAAUGUUUUAAUAUCAAUUAGAAAUUUUUUAUUAUCACUAUAUUUUAAUCAUCAAAAUAAUAAACGUAUGUUAAUUAGUUAUUAUUUUGAAUAAUGUUGUUUUAUAUUAAUUACAUGAAGUAAAAUUAUAUUGUGUAUUGAUUAAAUUUAAAAAAACUUUAAUUAUGAUUUCAAAAUUAUUGUUAUAAUAUUUAAUUUUUUAAAUAAGUUAAUAUAUCUUAAUUACAUUCAAAAGUUUGUAUAAGAAAUUUAUUUUACAAUAAUUAAAAAUAUAAUAUUAAAAAAACUAACUAAAAAUUAAAUGCUUAAAAUCACAUUCAACAUAUGUUUUAUGUAAAUUAAUCUUAAGAAUUAAGAGACGUAAAAAAAAAAUAGUAACUUACUGGUUUGAGAACGAGAGUCAUUAAAAUUAAUUUCGUCCAAGAAAAGAAUCUUGAAUGAUGGAAAUAAAUCCAAUGAUUGUAGCCAAAAAUUGCAAUCAGAAUCUGUACAUAUCAAAUAGUAUAUUUAUAUUUGCUUUAUUUCUUUAGAAUAUAUCUAAUUAAUCAAACUAGUAAAUAAUUAAUAGGGAUUUGUUUCAAUAUUUAAAUAUUAACACAUUCAUUCAUGAAUUAAGCAACAAUUUUAUUUUAGUAAUACCAGUUGAAUAGCAGCUUAUACGUAGGUCCUCUAAUUUGCUCAAGCUAUCUGAGGAAAAUAAAAAAUUGAAAAAUAAUUCUAUUAAAAUAUGAAUAUAAUAUAUAAACACACAUCAUUGAAUAACCAUUGGUAGAGAGAAAGCAAGAAUGUACUAUAGAAAAAAAUUAAUAUGAAAUCAUCAUUUUAUCUUGGAACCUCUAAAUAAACAAAUUGUUUUAAAUUUAUCAACCUUAGCUUUGCACCAUAAUUCAAGUAUUAUUUCACUACAUUUAAAAGUAUUUAUGAUUCAGGCUUUAAUCAAAUUUGUACAUUAUACCAAACAUCAUCAUUAAUGUUUAGCUGUUUACGUAUAGUUGAGUAAAUUUAUAGAUCUCAAAUUAUAUGAAGUUUAUUUUAAAAUGGUUAAAAAAUUUCGUUUAAAUUUAUCUAUAUUAUUUUUAUAUUUUUUUUAAAAAUAUAUUAUUUAUUAUUUACAGUUUUUUUUUCUUCUAUUAAACCUUUUAACAUAAACUACUUUAAAAAAAAAGAACAUUUGAUUAUUAUUAGGAAUGAAAAACAUAAACCAUUUAGCUUCCACCUUAAGUGAAUAAUAAGGCACCGUAAUUGCAAAAAGGAAAAAAAUGCCAAUGAUAUAUAUAUAUAUCUAUUAUUUUAUUAUUUAUAUUCUAUCUAUAAUACAUAUAAAAACAUAAAUUUAAAGAAAUUUCUGAAACAAUGAAUAAAAAAUUUAAUGUUUAUUAUAUUACUGAAUAUACUUUUUUAAAUGUUUUUAUUAUUUAUAAAAAAUGUUAUUUUACAUUAAUUAAAAAUAUAAAAUUAAAAAAAAACUAAAAAUUAAAUAUCUAAAAUCACAUUCAACAUAUGUGCCAUUAGAAACUAGUAUUUAUGUAAAUUAAUCUUAAGAAUUAAUAUAGGUAAAAAAGAAUAGAAACUUACUAAUUUGGGAAUGAGAGUCAUUAACACUAAAUCCUUUUAAGGAAAGAGUCUUCAAUGAUGGGAAUAAAUCCAAUGAUUGUAGCCGAAAAUUACAAUCUAAACAUAUCAAAUAAUACAUUUAUAUUUACUAAUAUAUCUAAUUAAUCAGACUAAUAAAUAAUUAAUAAGGACUUAUUUCAAUGUUUAAAUAUUAACACAUUCAUUCAUAAAUUAUGCCACAAUUUUAUUUUAAUCGUACCGGUAGUUGAAUAGCAUGUGAUAUGGAGGUCCUCCAAAUUGCUCAAGCCAUCUAAUUCUGAGGAGAAUCAAAAAUUGAAAAAUAAUACUAUUAAAAUAAAACUUAUUAAAAUAAACACACAUCAUUGAAUAACCAUAGGUAGAAAGAAAGCGGGAAUGGACUGUGGUUGGAGAAAAAAAAUCCAACAUCAUUAUUAAUAUUUAGCUAUUUAAGUACAACUGAGUAAAACUAUGUGAAGUAGACUUUUAUUUAUAAAUGGUUAAUAAAAAUUCAUUUUGAUUUAUCUAUAUUAUCUUUUAAUAUUUAUUUUUAAAAUAUAUUUUUUAUUAUUUACUUCUACUAAAGUUUUUAACAUAAACGAUUUUUUUUUAAAAAAAUUAAGAACAUUUUCUUUUUAUUGAGAAUGAAAAACAGUUCCAACUUAUGUGAAUAAUAUGCCACACUAAUUGCAAAAGGAAAAAAAUGCCAAUGAUAUAUAUUUGUUAUUCCAUUAUCUAUAUUCUAUCUAUAAUAUAUAUAAAUAUAUAUUUUAAGAAAAUUUUUCACUCAUGAAUACGACUUUAUAUGUUUUAAUUAUUUAUAAGAUUUAUCACAUUUAUAAUCAAAAUUCUAAUUUCACUAAAACAUUUUUUAAAUAAACUUAUUUGAUAAAUAAAAAUUAUCGUACUUAUAAAUAAGAAUUCUUAUUCUGUUGAGAUAAUUUUAUUAAAUUAAUUAAUAUAUAAUAAAUAAAUAAAUUUCUAUUGGUUUUUUUAAAUAGAAAAUUUUAUAAAUAAUACAAAUUGAAGUAUAAUUUCAUAUAUUAUAUUAUAUUAUAUUAAUUAUAUAUUAUCUACAUAUUAUUAUGGUUAACUUAUUGACCAAAAAAAAUUGAAUGGUGAAUAGAUUAAUUUAUAGUAUAUUAAUUUUUAUAUCUUUUACAAAUGUUUUAAUGUCAAUUAGAUAAUUUUUAUUAUUACCAUAUCUGAAUCAUCAAAAUAAUUAAUAUGUUAAUUAGUUAUUAUUUUAAAUAAUAUUAUUUUGCAUUAACUACAUUAUGUAAAACUAUAUUGUGUAUUGAUUAAGUUAAAAAUACUUCAAUUGUGAUUUCAAAAUUAUUGCUAUAAUAUUUAAUUGUGAUUUCAAAAAAUAUAUAAAUUUCGGUUUAUUCAAUUAACCGACCGAAUAAAUCAAAAUAUUUUAGUUCGGUUAACGGUUAAAGAUUUUUACAUUUUGAGUAAUUGGUUAAUAGUAAUUUAGUUCAGGUAUUAACUGAAUUGACCGUUUGAACUUCCCUAUGUCUAAUGUCUGAAUAUAAUCCAACAAAACUAUAAAUCUUAAAUGAUGGGAAAUUGACCUUUAUUUAUAAAUAGUUAACAAAAAUUUGUUUAGAUUUACUAUUUACAAAAUUUUAUUUUACUUCUAUUAAAUUUUUUAACACAAACGAUUUAAAAAGAAACUUGACAAGAUUUGAUUAUUAUUAGGAAUGAAAAACUACAAAUUUUACAAUUUAUAUGAAGACCAAAAUAGAAAAUAUAUAAAACUAAAAAGUCUAAUAAAUAAAAAAAAUUACAAAUUUUAAUUCUACUAGAAUUGUAAAUGUGACAUUAAAAUUAUAUUAUAACAAAUAAUUUUUUGAACAAAUUAUAUUAAUUAAAAUUAAACACCUAAAAU
This 4629-nucleotide long non-coding RNA is filed under the name Gossypium barbadense (sea-island cotton). Its description in RNAcentral is "long non-coding RNA (GBAR_LNC003555)". Lineage: Eukaryota; Viridiplantae; Streptophyta; Magnoliopsida; Malvales; Malvaceae. The record is from RNAcentral.